GACGAACGCUGGCGGCGUGCCUAAUACAUGCAAGUUGAGCGCUGAAGGUUGGUACUUGUACCGACUGGAUGAGCAGCGAACGGGUGAGUAACGCGUGGGGAAUCUGCCUUUGAGCGGGGGACAACAUUUGGAAACGAAUGCUAAUACCGCAUAAAAACUUUAAACACAAGUUUUAAGUUUGAAAGAUGCAAUUGCAUCACUCAAAGAUGAUCCCGCGUUGUAUUAGCUAGUUGGUGAGGUAAAGGCUCACCAAGGCGAUGAUACAUAGCCGACCUGAGAGGGUGAUCGGCCACAUUGGGACGGAGACACGGCCCAAACGCCUACGGGAGGCAGCAGUAGGGAAUCUUCGGCAAUGGAAGAAAGUCUGACCGAGCAACGCCGCGUGAGUGAAGAAGGGUGUCGGAUCGUAAAACUCUGUUGGUAGAGAAGAACGUUGGUGAGAGUGGAAAGCUCAUCAAGUGACGGUAACUACCCAGAAAGGGACGGCUAACUACGUG
This 497-nucleotide ribosomal RNA is filed under the name uncultured bacterium. Its description in RNAcentral is "partial 16S ribosomal RNA". It matches the Rfam family "Bacterial small subunit ribosomal RNA", at positions 28 to 507 of the family's 1533-position model. The record is from RNAcentral.